Pungitius pungitius (ninespine stickleback) is the source of this 541-nucleotide long non-coding RNA. RefSeq lists it as uncharacterized. Lineage: Eukaryota; Metazoa; Chordata; Actinopteri; Perciformes; Gasterosteidae. The record is from RefSeq and is a predicted model, not a curated record. The transcript is spliced from 3 exons.
GCAUUUAUGCUCUCCCUCAGCAACUCCUUUGUUCCUUUUCACAGCUUUCUCUAUUGCCGCUCUCAAUCAGCCCUGCCAAGUCUAUAAAUACAAAGACAAAUCUGGCAGUGAGUUUGAGCCCCGAGCCUCAUCCAGGAGAUAAACUGUGGCGCUGGAGAGAGCAACAAUCUGCUGCAGGAGCUCGUGCACCAUGGAGACCUUACGAUCCCCGUGCUGCAGUAUCAGACACUAAAGAGAUGAGAAGCCUGAAGAGGCUCUGUGGCUAAACUCACCGUGCUGCAUUGACAGAAGGGAUUAAAUGGAGUCAGGCGACAAGAAAGGUAUCAAACAGGAACUAAGGAUGGCGUCUGCAGUUGGGAGACACACUGUCAUAGAGUCAUUCAUGUGGGCUGAUUUUAAGUCAAGAAACCCCCUCUGCAGAACUGUUCUAAAAAAUAAAGAUGCUGUAAAAAAAAUGCUGUAGAGCUUGUUAUUCCACCUCAUUCAAUUUACCUUCCUUUCAUUUCUACCUUUGAAGCAGUACCCUGCCCCUGUGAUUCAU